AUUGAACGCUGGCGGCAUGCCUAACACAUGCAAGUCGAACGAGUGGCGGACGGGUGAGUAAUAUCUGGGAAACUGCCUGAUGGAGGGGGAUAACUACUGGAAAGGGUAGCUCAUACCGCAUACCAUUAGAGGGGCCCAUAUGGGAUUAGCUUGUUGGUGGGGUAACGGGUCACCAAGGCGACGAUCCCUCGCUGGUCUGAGAGGAUGACCAGCCACACUGGAACUGAGACACGGUCCAGCCUCCUACGGGAGGCAGCAGUGGGGAAUUUUGCACAAUGGGCGAAACCCUGAUGCAGCCAUCCCGCGUGUAUGAAGAAGGCCUUCGGGUUGUAAAGUACUUUCAGCAGGGAGGCGUUACCCGCAGAAGAAGCACCGGCUAACUCCGUGCCAGCCGCCGCGGUAAUUC
Molecule: ribosomal RNA, 406 nt
Filed under: uncultured bacterium
Lineage: Bacteria
Description: partial 16S ribosomal RNA
Rfam family: Bacterial small subunit ribosomal RNA
Source: RNAcentral